GAAGGUAUAAUUUGGUGGUAGAGUGUGUGCAUAGCAUGCACAAGAUCAUGGGUUCAAUCCCCAGUACCUCCA
Molecule: transfer RNA, 72 nt
Organism: Camelus ferus (Wild Bactrian camel)
Lineage: Eukaryota; Metazoa; Chordata; Mammalia; Artiodactyla; Camelidae
Rfam family: tRNA
About the family: Transfer RNA (tRNA) molecules are approximately 80 nucleotides in length. Their secondary structure includes four short double-helical elements and three loops (D, anti-codon, and T loops).
Source: Rfam